AGAAAAAAAAAGUUUGUCAUUAGCCGCCAAGACCCGAGGGGGACCCUGAAGAGGACUGGUGAGGGAAGUCAGGUGCUUGAGGGAGUUUACAAAAGGCGCGGUGGCAGGCUGACGAGGAGGUUCGCUUUCCUGAACGGCGUUGGUGGCAGAAGUUGAGGGAAGAGAAGGACCCAGCCGAGGUGUAUAGGAGCCAGAAGUACCGGGCGCGAGUCACUGACACCCUACCCUGUCUCCUUAGAGACGUGUCUCUAAGUGACUCGAGUUUGUUCAACGGGCGGCCAGUCCUCAGCCAGCUUCCCGCCAUCAGACUCCUGAGGCCGAAAAAGGACACGGAGGUUGCUGUAACUGACCGGGGAGGAGCGGGGCGACGGCGAGCACGGGUGCUGGUUCGCUAGGGAAAAGUGCUUCUCGGGAUUUGGCUUCUUUCGCCUCUUACCUCUUGGUUUUCUCGAAGAGGUUGUGAACAAGCCAAGAAACCAGAAAUGAGUGGAAUGCUAUCUUAAGUCAAAAAUCUGUUACAACCUUUAUAAAUACUACUUAAAUGAAGAAAGAUAAAAAACCCCACAAAAUUCCAACUGAUAGUUACCCCAUUCAGACACUGGUGAAUAUGUCCUUCAGUCCAAGCCGACCUUCCUCCUCAGAGCAAUGGAAUGUGACUGGAAAAAAAGUAUACCAACAUGAAGACUGUUCUCACUUUAAAGUCAUGACCAUGAAUCUAAAGAAGAACCUUUUGCUGUUGGUGGAACUUCAUGUUUUCUAUGUCCCUGAAGGAUCGUGGAACUAUAAGCUAAAUAUCAUUUCAAUAGAAGUUGUUAACAAAUUCAUUUCAGCUGGAUUUAUAAGAGUAUCUCCUCACCUUACUUUACAAGCGCUGAGAGAGCGACUUGGUGAGUUCCUUGGUGAAGAUGCUGUUGCAGAAAAAUUUUUAUUUCUGAAAUGCAUUGGAAAUAAUCUAGCUGUGGUGAAGGUAAAGCAAGAAUCGGAACUGAAACUCAAAUCAUUUGCUCCUCCAUAUGCUCUUCAACCAGAAUUAUAUUUGCUUCCUAUAAUGGAUCAUUUAGGAAAUAUUUAUUCAGCAUCAACUGUUUCUUUAGAUGGGCAGCAGACUAAUAAUGGUGUUGCUGAGGCUGAUGGAAUAAUCCACAGACCACUUAGUGUAACUUUGUUGAACGAAGAACCUGGAACAGAUCCCAGUUUUUUAGUAAACACUUUGAAAGAGCUUCUUAACAAAAAUCAGGAAGAAGCAACAUCAGCUGGGGGAAAAGCCACUCCAAAAGAAAACCAGACUGGAAAAAAUCAAAUUGGAAAUUCUGAAGUUCCAGGAUCAUUGGGAGAAUCAAAUAGUGAUUAUUUUAGCAACAAAAAAAGUCAAUUUCUUUGGAAAAAUGAAGAUGAUGGAGUUAAUAUCAUUAGAACAGAGGACAAUCAGAUAGGUAAAAAAGAGUGCAUCACCCUACCAGAGCUUAUUGAUUUUCCUUCACUUCCUUGUCAACCUGCUCUUUCUCCCGGAAUAACUGAUACCUCUUUAUUACAGAUUGAAAGAGAGAAGAUUAUUGAACAAAUGAAACAAGUAAAGGAAGAAAGACGAUAUCUGGAAAGAAUUAGAGAAGAACUAAUAAAAAAAGUUGAAAAGCUAUUUGAACAAAGCAAAUUAAAGCGAUAUCAUGCCUGUGAUGGUUGGAAGAAAAAAUACUUUGAAACAAAGAAAAUUACAGCAUCAUUAGAGGAGGUUUUAACAAAACUUCGAGAAGAUUUGGAACUUUACUAUAAAAAACUGCUCAUGCAACUUGAAGCCAGGGAGAUCAAGAUGAGACCAAAGAAUCUGGCAAACAUCACAGACUCUAAGAAUUACCUUAUAAUCCAGAUCACUGAAGUACAGCAUGCAAUUGACCAACUUAAGAGAAAACUGGAUACUGACAAAAUGAAACUCAUGAUAGAAGUUAAGGUGAGAAAACAAGCAGUUUCAGAUUUACGCACAUUGAAAACUGAACCGGCACAGAAGAAAAUUAACACAUCUUUACAAUCUCAAUUAGUUCCUGGAAAUGUACUUAGGAGCUCAGCGGAUGAUUUUGUUCAUGAUGAAUCAGCCAAAUCAAAAGGGGUCCCAAGAAGAGGAGGAGAAAGAGGAAGACAGAAAACUUAUUUGAAGAAACAAUAGCUGAAAAUGUCCCUGACCUAGGAAGGAAAUGGACAUCCAGGUUCAAGAAUCACAGAGAGUUCCAAAGAAGAUGAACUCAAGGUGAGGGGGAAAAGAUGGCGGAGGAGUAGGAGACCCUAUUUCAGCUGGUCCCCAGAACUGAGCUGGAUAUCUACCAGACCACUCUGAGCACCCACGAAACCAGCCUGAGAUGUAAGAAGAUCUGGAUCUCUACAAACAGAGUAUCACAGGCGGUUGGUUUUGAGAUUUAAAGUUUUUGGCAACCCUGCAUCAAGCAAGUCUAUCAGCACCAUUAUUCCAACAGCAUUUGCUCACUUCAUGUCUCUGUGUCACAUUUUGGUAAUUCUCACAAUAUAUCAAACUUUUUCAUUAUUCUGAUUUGUGGUCAGUGAUUUUUAAUGUUACUAUUGUAAUAGUUUUAGGGUGCCACAAACCAUGCCCAUAUAAGAUGGCAAACAAUCCAUAAAUGUGUGUGUUCUGACUGCUCCACCCACUGGUUGUUUCCCUGUCUCUGUCCCUCUUUUGGGCCUCCCGAUUCCCUGAGACACAAUAACAUUGAAAUUAGAACAAAUUAAUAACUCUACAAUGGCCUCUAAGUGUUCAAGUGAAAGGAAGAGUCACACGUCUCUCACUUCGAAUCAAAAGCUAGAAAUGAUUAAGCUUAGUGAGGAAAGUUUGUCAAAACCUGAGAAAGGCCAGGGGCACCUGGGUGGCUCAGUCGUUAAGCGCCUGCCUUUGGCUCAGGUCAUGAUCCCAGCAUUCUGGGAUCGAGCCCCGCAUCGGGCUCCCCGCUCGGCGGGAAGCCUGCCUCUCCCCCCUCCACUCCCCCUGCCUGUGCUCCUCUCUCACUGUGUCUCUCUCUGUCAAAUAAAUAAAAUCUUAAAAAAAAAAAAAAAAAAGCUGAGAAAGGCCAAAAGCUAGGCUUCUUGUGCCAAACAGCCAAGUUGUGAAAGAAAAAAUUCUUGAAGGAAUUAAAAGUGCUACUCCAGUGAACACAUUAUAAGAAAGCAUCAAAAACUAAUGAUGUAAUGUAUGGCGAUUAACAUAAUAAAAUAAAAAAAUUAAAAAUAAAUACUAAAAAUUAAAAAAAAAAAUAAGCAAAACAGCCAUAUUGCUGAUAUGGAAAAAGUUGUAGUGGUCUGGAUGGAAGAUCAAACCAGCCACAACAUCCCCUUAAGCCAUAGCUAAUCCAGAGAAUAAGGCCUUAAAUUCUGUGAAGGUUGGGAGAAGUAAGGAAGCUGCAAAAAUAAGUUUGGAGCAACAGAGUUUGUUUCAUGAGGUUUAAGGGAAGAAGUUUUCUCCAUAAAAAAAAAAAAAAUGCAAGGUGAAGCAGCAAGUGCUGAUAUAGAAGCUGUGGUGAAUUAUCUAGAAGAUCUAGCUAAGAUAAUUAAUGAAGGUGGCUAUACUAAACAACAGAUUUUUAAGAUACACAAAACAGCCUUCUAUUGGAAGAAGAUGCCAUCUAGGACUUCCAUACCUGGAAAGAAGUCAAUGCCUGGUUCAAGGCUUCAUAAAACAGGCUGAAUCUCUUGUUAGGGGCUAAAGUAGCUAGUGGCUUUAAGUUGAAGCCAUUUCUCAUUGACCAUUCUAAAAAUCCUAGGCCCCUUAAGAAUUAUGUUAAAUCUACUCUGCCUGUGCUCUAUAAAUGGAAUAAAAAAGCUGGAUGUGGGCACAUCUGUUUACAACAUGGUUUACUGAAUGUUUUAAGCCCACUGUUAAGAGCUACUGAAGAAAGAUUCCUUUCAAAAUAUGACUACUCAUUGACAAUGUACCUGGUCACUGAAGAGCUCUGAUGGAGAUAGACAAUGAGAUGCAUGUUGUUUUCAUGCUGGCUAACACAACAUCCAUUCUGCAGCCCAUGGAUCAAAUAGUCAUUCCAAAUUUCAAAUCUUAUUAUUUAAGAAACGUAUUUAGUAGGACUACAGUUGCCACAGACAAUGAUUCCGUUGAAGGAUCUGGGCAAAGUAAACUGAAAACCUGGGGCACCUGGGUGGCUCAGUUGGUUGAGCGACUGCCUUCGGCUCAGGUCAUGAUCCUGGAGUCCCUGGAUCGAGUCCUGCAUUGGGCUCCCUGCUCAGCAGGGAGUCUACUUCUCCCUCUGACCCUCCCCCCUCUCAUGUGCUCUCUCUCUCAAAUAAAUAAAUAAAAAAUCUUUAAAAAAAGAAAGAAAGAAAACCUUCUGGAAAGGAUUCACCAUUCUAUAUGCCAUUAAGAACAUUUGUGAUUCAUGGGGAAAAAAUCAAAAUAUUAACAGUAAGAGGAGUUUGGAACAGGACCUACCCUCAUGAAGGACAUUGAGGGGUUUAAGACUUUCAUGGAGGCGGUAACUGUAGAUGUGGUAGACCUAGCAGGAGAACUAGAAGUAGAAGUAGAGUCUGAAGAUGUGAUUGAAUGGCUGCUAUCUCAUGAUAAAAUUUUCACAGAUGAGGAAUUGCUUCUUUUGAAUGAGCAAAGAAAGUGGUUUCUUGAGAUGGAAUCUACUCCUGGUGAAGAUGCUAUGAAGAUCGUUGAAAUGACAACAAGAGAUUUAGAAAAUUACAUACAUUUAGUCAAUAAAGCAGCAGCAAGAUUUGAGAGAAUGGACUCCAAUUUUGGGAGAAGUUCUGCUGUGGGUAAAAUGCUAUUUAAACAGCAUUGCAUGAUACAAAGAUAUUGUUUGUGAAAGGAAGAGUCCAUCAGUGCAGCAAACUUCAUUUUUGUUUUAUUUUAAGAAAUUGCCACAGCCUCCCCCCACCUUUAGCAACCACCACCCUGGUCAGUCACAGCCAUUAACAUCAAGGCAAGACCCUUUCCCAGCAAAAAGAUUACAACUUGAUGAAAAGCUCAGAUGAUGGUUAGCAUUUUUAGCAAUACAGUAUUUUUUAAUUAAGGUAUUUAUAUUAUUUUUCAGAUGUAAUACUAUUGCACACUCAAUAGACUAUAGUAAAGAGUAAACAUAACUUUAUAUGUACUGGAAAGCCAAAAAGUUCAUUUGACUUGAUUCAUUGAGGUGUGUGUGUGGGGGGGUGUUUAAAGACUUGGUUAUUUUGGGGUGCCUGGGUGGCUCAGUUGGAUAAGUGUCUGGCUCUUGAUUUUGGCUCAGGUCAUGAUCUCAGGGUCAUAAGAUCAAGCCCUGGCACCAGGCUCUGUGCUGAGCAUGGAGCCUACUUAAGAUUCUCUCUGCUCCUCCCUUUGCCCCUCCCCUGCUUGCUUGCAUGCAUGCAUGCUCUCAAAAAAAGGAAAAAAAAAAAAAAAGAAAAGAA
RNA transcript from Mirounga angustirostris (Northern elephant seal), 5400 nucleotides. It is a transcript of the gene named spermatogenesis associated 1, with no coding region annotated. The record is from RefSeq and is a predicted model, not a curated record. The transcript has 17 exons. Lineage: Eukaryota; Metazoa; Chordata; Mammalia; Carnivora; Phocidae.